GCAAGCUAUUCAUUCUGUCACUGGAGAAACAGAUUCUCAGUUGCUUCCUAUAUCAAAGGUCAAACUCCCUUCUGGGUUGUCGUCAAUGUUGUGGUUUCUAGCCUGAAGGAUGCCUCGAGCUCCCAGUUUUUGGCAAAGCCAAGGCCUUCCUAUUCCCUGAGAUAUAACAAUAUUGAAAUUAGGCCAGUUAAUAACCCUUACAAUGGCCUCUAUGUGUUCAGAUGAAAGGAAGAGUCAUUUGAUGAGGCAACCUUCAUUGUUGUCUUGUUUUAAGAAAUUGCCACAGUCACCCCAACCUUCAGCAACCACCAUCCUGAUCAGUCAGCAGCCAUCAACAUCGAGGCAUGACCGUCUACAGCAAAAAGAUUACCACUCACUGAAGGCUCACUGAAGGCCUGGUUUUUAUAUUUGUGCCAAACUUCUUGAAGCUAGAAAUUGGACCUUGGCAGAGAAGCUGAAGCUGGAUGGCUACAUCAACACUGAUGUCAUCACUGCCCAGAGCUGAGACUUCCAUACAAGUACCCUGCCACCCAUACCCAGGAACUUCCGCCCAGUUUUGCAUUUCCCAGUGCCUGCUCCCAUGCUUUCUGAGUCUUUAGAGCUGGGUUUCUUAACCCUUUCUGUGUCAUGAAUCCCUUUUGAAGUUUGAUGAAGUUUUGUACCCCUUCUCUGAAUAAUGUUUUUGAAUGUAAAAUGUAAUAUAAAA
Vombatus ursinus (common wombat) is the source of this 706-nucleotide long non-coding RNA. RefSeq lists it as uncharacterized. NCBI's taxonomy places the organism in Eukaryota, Metazoa, Chordata, Mammalia, Diprotodontia, Vombatidae. The transcript has 4 exons. The record is from RefSeq and is a predicted model, not a curated record.